This 466-nucleotide long non-coding RNA is filed under the name Salmo salar (Atlantic salmon). RNAcentral describes it as "lncRNA (ENSSSAG00000118296.1)". The record is from RNAcentral. Lineage: Eukaryota; Metazoa; Chordata; Actinopteri; Salmoniformes; Salmonidae.
CAGCCCCACAUCAGACCACCCUUCUCUCCUCCAGGUCCAUCUCCCUUCAGCAGCCCCACAUCAGACCACCCUUCAGUCCUCCAGGUCCAUCUCCCUUCAGCAGCCCCACAUCAGACCACCCUUCAGUCCUCCAGGUCCAUCUCCCUUCAGCAGCCCCACAUCAGACCACCCUUCAGUCCUCCAGGUCCAUCUCCCUUCAGCAGCCCCACAUCAGACUACCCUUCUCUCCUCCAGGUCCGUCUCCCUUCAGCAGCCCCACAUCAGACCACCCUUCAGUCCUCCAGGUCCAUCUCCCUUCAGCAGCCCCACAUCAGACCACCCUUCAGUCCUCCAGGUCCAUCUCCCUUCAGCAGCCCCACAUCAGACCACCCUUCAGUCCUCCAGGUCCAUCUCCCUUCAGCAGCCCCACAUCAGACUACCCUUCUCUCCUCCAGGUCCAUCUCCCUUCAGCAGCCCCACAUCAGAC